This 234-nucleotide unclassified non-coding RNA is filed under the name plant metagenome. RNAcentral describes it as "partial contains small subunit ribosomal RNA, internal transcribed spacer 1, and 5.8S ribosomal RNA". The record is from RNAcentral.
UUUCCAUAGGUGAGCCUGCGGAAGGAUCAUUAAAGUUAUAGUCCCCUGGCCCUCUGGGCUGGGGUCUUCUAUACCACCCUUUGUUUAUUACACCUUUGUUGCUUUGGCAGGCCUGCCCUCGGGCUGCUGGCUCCGGCCGGCGAGCGCCUGCCAGAGGACCUAAACUCUGUUUGUCUAUAAUGUCUGAGUACUAUAUAAUAGUUAAAACUUUCAACAACGGAUCUCUUGGUUCUG